GGCGUGCCUAAUACAUGCAAGUCGAGCGAACAGAUGAGAAGCUUGCUUCUCUGAUGUUAGCGGCGGACGGGUGAGUAACACGUGGGUAACCUACCUAUAAGACUGGGAUAACUCCGGGAAACCGGGGCUAAUACCGGAUAAUAUUUUGAACCGCAUGGUUCAAUAGUGAAAGACGGUUUCGGCUGUCACUUAUAGAUGGACCCGCGCCGUAUUAGCUAGUUGGUAAGGUAACGGCUUACCAAGGCGACGAUACGUAGCCGACCUGAGAGGGUGAUCGGCCACACUGGAACUGAGACACGGUCCAGACUCCUACGGGAGGCAGCAGUAGGGAAUCUUCCCCAAUGGGCGAAAGCCGGACGGAGCAACGCCGCGUGAGUGAGGAAGGUCUUCGGAUCGUAAAACUCUG
Molecule: ribosomal RNA, 406 nt
Filed under: Mammaliicoccus sciuri
Lineage: Bacteria; Bacillati; Bacillota; Bacilli; Caryophanales; Staphylococcaceae
Description: bacterial SSU rRNA
Rfam family: Bacterial small subunit ribosomal RNA
Source: RNAcentral